This 234-nucleotide ribosomal RNA is filed under the name uncultured bacterium. RNAcentral describes it as "partial 16S ribosomal RNA". It matches the Rfam family "Bacterial small subunit ribosomal RNA", at positions 99 to 334 of the family's 1533-position model. The record is from RNAcentral.
CGCACGGGUGAGUAACACGUAUCCAACCUGCCGUCUACUCUUGGACAGCCUUCUGAAAGGAAGAUUAAUACAAGAUGGCAUCAUGAGUUCACAUGUUCACAUGAUUAAAGGUAUUCCGGUAGACGAUGGGGAUGCGUUCCAUUAGAUAGUAGCGGGGUAACGGCCCACCUAGUCUUCGAUGGAUAGGGGUUCUGAGAGGAAGGUCCCCCACAUUGGAACUGAGACACGGUCCAA